Molecule: transfer RNA, 73 nt
Filed under: Stegodyphus mimosarum
Lineage: Eukaryota; Metazoa; Arthropoda; Arachnida; Araneae; Eresidae
Rfam family: tRNA
About the family: Transfer RNA (tRNA) molecules are approximately 80 nucleotides in length. Their secondary structure includes four short double-helical elements and three loops (D, anti-codon, and T loops). Further hydrogen bonds mediate the characteristic L-shaped molecular structure. tRNAs have two regions of fundamental functional importance: the anti-codon, which is responsible for specific mRNA codon recognition, and the 3' end, to which the tRNAs corresponding amino acid is attached (by aminoacyl-tRNA synthetases). tRNAs cope with the degeneracy of the genetic code in two manners: having more than one tRNA (with a specific anti-codon) for a particular amino acid; and 'wobble' base-pairing, i.e. permitting non-standard base-pairing at the 3rd anti-codon position.
Source: Rfam by way of RNAcentral
GCCUUCGUGGCGCAAUGGUCAGCACGCUCGGUUCGUAUUCGAGAGGCCCGUGGUUCGAGUCCCGGCGAGGACA